GUACACCACAGGGUGGUUUCCUCUGCAUUUUGUGGGCCAUUUCUGAUAGCCGUUUUUCCUUUCCUUUCCGUAACAAGGAACAAAGCAACAACAAUGGCGACCAUGGAACAGUGUCUGCUAGAACAAAUGGACCUAGAUGACCAGAUGAUACGUUUAAUUAUGCUGCAAAAUCGAUCGAGAAGGCGGCGGCGUAGAUGUACCAAACCAGACUCUGAUGGAUGAACCCAGAACUGAUUCAAUGACUCUUGUAUAGAACUUUCGCAACACAGGCUGUGAUUCGUCAGCAACUGGAGGAAGUACAUACUCAGCUGGGCUUUUUCAGGAUGGGGUUGAUGUUGGUCUCCCACUUCAGGUCCUGAGAGACUGUAAUUCCCAGGAAUUUGAAGGUCCCGACGUUUGACUCAGGGCAAUUGGACAGCGUGAGGGGUAGCUGUGAAAUCCACAAUCAUCCCUAUGGUCUUGAGCGUGUCCAGAUCCAGGUUGUGCCGCACCAGAGCACCAGCUGCUACACUUCCUGUGCGAUAUGUGAUAUUGUUUCAAACUGUAACCGAUUGUGACUUGAGCGUAUUGCAUUAUGUAGAUAUGUAUUAAAUAAAGUAUUUGCCAUCCAGGCGGACGGCAAUCGUUUUGCAGGUCUACCUAACAACUCCGGACAACGUCUGUCACGACACUCCUAAGCUGUUAGCCAUCUUCUGUAGCCUGGUUAACCUUCCAGAUGCAGUUUGUUGUGGAUUUUUUAGAAUUUUUUGAAAUAUUCAAACCCAGAACCUUUGAUCCCGAGGCACACACGCUAACCAAAUGCUCUACUGUCCUGUCAAGAAGACUACUACAUCACGUUAUUCAAUUCAGGAAAUCCAAUGCCAUCCAACUUGGAAUUUGUGUUACUUUUACGAUUGAUCUUUUUACUUUUAAUUAAUAUUUAAUUUAAUAGACUAACACUACACCAUUGAGUGUUCGGACUGGAUUGAGGGGUGUUUUUCUUGAAGCCAAGAUUAAAACACUGGGUCUACUGUUAUUGUGAAGGGAAUUAAGACCAAAUAAUACCAAAGAGUACCAUGUGAAAGGAAGAAGACCAUGAUUAGAUUUCAAGGUAUGAGGCAGAGGCCUUUACAUUAGGAGAGCGAAACUCAAUUUGUUGCCUCACGCGUCUGGCAAAUGAAAAUGCUGCUUGCUGCCCUCCUGCGAGCCAGCCAACAUUCAUCAACUUGCAUCAUUUUUUCAUUUGGCGAUGCUGCAGCAGCAAGACGAAAUAACAUCUGGCAGUGACCCACUAGUCAGUGCUAUAAUGGCCACCAUGUUCGCAUAUGUGGACUGCAGCUUGUGGAGCAACAUGGCUGAUACUGAAUAUUUGUUCCCUCUUUUGUUAGUCUUCUGGGGAAAAGAGCUUUAGUCCAAAUUUAAAGUGUCACAUCCGUCCACUCAUCGGAGAGACAAACUACUUUGCUGCACCAAAAGCUAACGCUAAUGUCGAAACUGGGUCAGAGCUAAUAAAUAAUUAAAAUCGACCAAGCGACGGCUCAUAACUUGAAAAAGUCAAAGGUUGGGGCACUAGUAUUUUGUAAUCAUUUUUGAUGUACAGCUGGAAAAUACAAAAAAACUAAAACAUACAUAAUUUUGAAAAUACAGCUGGAAAGGGUUUUAGGGGACAGACAGAGGGACUGAGUGGACAAGGGGAAUAGGGGUGCGAACCACAGCAGAACAAUAGUUAAACAGUUUAGAUAUUGGAGCACAAGUAACGUGUCAACAGUCAAAUUGUGUUCUUAUUUGUGGAUGGGGCGGUGACACCCGGUGAGGACGUGCAAUAACUAACCAAGCGAACAAGAUGAGAGAGGACAGAAAAGGGCAGGACAGGACAGGACCUGGGAAAUGAGCAAGACAGUGCUCUUGAAGAGUAAAUUGAACCUGUAAAUUGAUAUGUUAAUAUAACCUGUGUUGUUAUUAGUGGUCCUAGCACAAGCAAUUAAAGGGUAUAGCGUGUCUAUGGAAUUUAUUAGGGAAUGAACGCCAUAUCACAUGCAUGUUAGUCAGCUGGUGUAUGGGGUUGCUGAGCCGGCACAUUGAGCCGCACGCAAAGUUGAGACAAUCAGAAUUCCAGUCACGCAACCCACGACACCCCCAUUUUGUGGCCACCCCUGUAAUUUUCUGACCACCUGCUGGCCACGCCCCAGAAAAAGCCCUGGCUCCACCACUGCUCAGUCAGACAAAAAAACUUGCGGGACCGGUAAAUCUUGCUUUAGUUGUUCUGAUUGCGUGGGACUGUCUUCAUCUCCAUUGGUAUUAAUGGCCACUAAUUUAUCAAAUAAUACCAAUUUGCCAAUUUAUCUAAUUUCCCUCACAUGAUUAAUAAAGUGUCGGUCGGUCGGUCGGUCGGUCGGUCGGUCGGUCGGUCGGAGAAGUGCAUGGAGAAAAGCUUCUCCAUGUCGGUGUGUAUAGAUAGAUAGAUAGAUAGAUAGAUUAGAUCGAUCUAUCUAUCUAUCUAUCUAUCUAUCUAUCUAUCUAUCUAUCUAUCUAUCUAUCUAUCCAUCUAUCCAUCUAUCCAUCUAUCCAUCCACACCGACCGACAUGGUGAAGCACUUCUGUCCAGGCAAUAAUGUGCAAUAUGGUGAUGAUUUUACUUUAAUUUCAUACUGUUCAUACUAUUCUUCCAGUUCAAGAAGGCUACUGGUUUAACCGGGCUCGCUAUUCCUGUUGGCGAUUGUUGUUGACAACUAUGCUUGCUUUUGUUUGUCUAAAUUCUACCUUUGAUUGGCUUACAAUAAAAUCUUCAUUACCUCUGCAA
Phyllopteryx taeniolatus (common seadragon) is the source of this 2779-nucleotide long non-coding RNA. RefSeq lists it as uncharacterized. The transcript is spliced from 2 exons. The record is from RefSeq and is a predicted model, not a curated record. Lineage: Eukaryota; Metazoa; Chordata; Actinopteri; Syngnathiformes; Syngnathidae.